UGGGGAAUAUUGGACAAUGGGCGCAAGCCUGAUCCAGCCAUGCCGCGUGUGUGAAGAAGGCCUUUUGGUUGUAAAGCACUUUAAGCGAGGAGGAGGCUACUUGGAUUAAUACUCUAGGAUAGUGGACGUUACUCGCAGAAUAAGCACCGGCUAACUCUGUGCCAGCAGCCGCGGUAAUACAGAGGGUGCGAGCGUUAAUCGGAUUUACUGGGCGUAAAGCGUGCGUAGGCGGCUUCUUAAGUCGGAUGUGAAAUCCCUGAGCUUAACUUAGGAAUUGCAUUCGAUACUGGGAAGCUAGAGUAUGGGAGAGGAUGGUAGAAUUCCAGGUGUAGCGGUGAAAUGCGUAGAGAUCUGGAGGAAUACCGAUGGCGUAGGCAGCCAUCUGGCCUAAUACUGACGCUGAGGUACGAAAGCAUGGGGAGCAAACAGG
Molecule: ribosomal RNA, 430 nt
Filed under: bacterium
Lineage: Bacteria
Also listed under: 1 other name
Description: partial 16S ribosomal RNA
Rfam family: Bacterial small subunit ribosomal RNA
Source: RNAcentral